UACGGAGGGGGCUAGCGUUGUUCGGAAUUACUGGGCGUAAAGCGCACGUAGGCGGCUUUGUAAGUCUGACGUGAAAGCCCCGGGCUUAACCUGGGAAUUGCGUUGGAGACUGCAAGGCUUGAAUCUGGCAGAGGGGGGUAGAAUUCCACGUGUAGCAGUGAAAUGCGUAGAGAUGUGGAGGAACACCGAUGGCGAAGGCAGCCCCCUGGGUCAAGAUUGACGCUCAUGCACGAAAGCGUGGGGAGCAAACAGG
RNAcentral lists this ribosomal RNA (253 nucleotides) under uncultured bacterium. RNAcentral describes it as "partial 16S ribosomal RNA". It matches the Rfam family "Bacterial small subunit ribosomal RNA", at positions 524 to 776 of the family's 1533-position model. The record is from RNAcentral.